Molecule: long non-coding RNA, 465 nt
Filed under: Setaria viridis
Lineage: Eukaryota; Viridiplantae; Streptophyta; Magnoliopsida; Poales; Poaceae
Description: long non-coding RNA (SVIR_LNC006523)
Source: RNAcentral
UUUUAUUCAAGUGGAAAGGGGUUUUAGGAACUCUCUGAGUUAAAUUAAAAUAAGUUUACUGAUAUGAUACCAAAAACCAAUGAUACAACAUCUGUAUAUAUCUAAAAGUAACCUCUUGAAUUAAAUAAUGUCUCCAACUCAUCUCCCAGCAGUGUAUCCUCAUACUUUUCGCAGUGUUUUUCCUUUUUAUUCUAAGUACAAAAUAUCUUCGUUCCUUCUAAAUGCCUGGUUUUUAAAAGGGAAAGCAUUUUUUAACAAAAAUGAAUAUAACCGAAGAAAUCCUAUCCCCGACUUGUAUUUUAAAAAAUAAUUAAUUUCAUUGUGUCUGUUAUAUAAUUUUCUACCAUAUAAACAAAAUAACAAGAAGAGCAAAUGCACUUUAGAAGCUAAAGUCAACAUCACUAUUUGAGACAAUACAGAAGUAUAUGUAUCUUUCUAAAUAUAAAUAAUCUCAACACCCCCCCC